AUGCACCUACAAUGUCAGGAGAGGAGCAGGACCAAAAGGAGGGACGGAGCUCCCAUGUAUUCACUGGUGUCAAUUGACACCAGUGCCUUCUGGCUUUUCAGACGGACGCCCUCGUCUCUUCGCCUCCUCAUCUCGAUCCCUAACUCCGCAGCCGCCGCAGCGAAUCGGCGACGAACGACGGCGAACUCGACGCUGUUUCAUCGGGACCAGGAGGAUAUAGAUAAUUUUUUGUUGAAAGGGAAACGACCAACACCAGAUAGUAACGUGGCAGGGACUUCAAGGCCAGUUAGACCAAGACAAGAUCUUGCAUCAAAUAUUGGUACUACUCCUCCGCCUCCGGUAGAAAUUAACUUAGAUGCACUUCCUCAUGAUCCAGCUGAUCGAAAAAGAAUAGGGCAGUACACAAAGAAUCCUAAGAAGCAAGAUGAGAUUAGAAUAAUAUAUUUAAAUAGAGGACCUUACAGACCACAAGAAGGCUUUAAAUAUCCUCAGAAAACCAUCGCAGGAGCUGAACAGAGAUUUAGUCCAAAAUGGUUUAAAGACUAUCAUUGGCUAGAGUACAGUGAUAAGGUGCAUAAGGCAUUUUGCUUGUGUUGCUAUCUAUUUAGAGAUUGCAUCGAUGGCCAAGGUGGUAAUGAUGCAUUUGUUGUUAAAGGUUUCUCUUGUUGGAAUAAGAAGCAAAGACUAGAUACUCAUGAGGAUGAAGUUAAUAGCUUUCACAAUGUAGCUGUUAAAAGAUGCGAUGCUUUAAUGAAUCAAAAUCAUUCCAUUAAGGUUGACCUCGACAAGCAAACUGAUAUCACAAAGAAGCAAAACCGCAUUCGGCUGAAUACCUCUGUUGAAUCGCAAAAGAAGGCAAGAAGGAUUCCAAGAAAAGUGAAGCACGUGGCCUUCUAUCAUAUUUUGGAACCUUUGAUUUUGUGUUCUAUUUGCACAUGA
Molecule: ribosomal RNA, 939 nt
Filed under: Triticum aestivum (bread wheat)
Lineage: Eukaryota; Viridiplantae; Streptophyta; Magnoliopsida; Poales; Poaceae
Description: partial small subunit ribosomal RNA
Source: RNAcentral